AAGGCGACGAUCAGUAGGGGUUCUGAGAGGAAGGUCCCCCACAUUGGAACUGAGACACGGUCCAAGCUCCUACGGGAGGCAGCAGUGAGGAAUAUUGGUCAAUGGGCGUGAGCCUGAACCAGCCAAGUAGCGUGCAGGAUGACGGCCCUAUGGGUUGUAAACUGCUUUUAUAGGGGAAUAAGUGAGCCACGUGUGGUUUUUUGCAUGUACCCUAUGAAUAAGGACCGGCUAAUUCCGUGCCAGCAGCCGCGGUAAUACGGAAGGUCCGGGCGUUAUCCGGAUUUAUUGGGUUUAAAGGGAGCGUAGGCCGGAGGUUAAGCGUGUUGUGAAAUGUAGAUGCUCAACAUCUGCACUGCAGCGCGAACUGGUUUCCUUGAGUACGCAUAAAGUGGGCGGAAUUCGUGGUGUAGCGGUGAAAUGCUUAGAUAUCACGAAGAACUCCGAUUGCGAAGGCAGCUCACUGGGGCGCAACUGACGCUGAAGCUCGAAAGCGCGGGUAUCGAACAGGAUUAGAUACCCUGGUAGUCCGCGCGGUAAACGUUGGAUGCCCGCUGUUGGGCCAACUGGUUCAGCGGCCAAGCGAAAGCAUUAAGCAUCCCACCUGGGGAGUACGCCGGCAACGGUGAAACUCAAAGGAAUUGACGGGGGCCCGCACAAGCGGAGGAACAUGUGGUUUAAUUCGAUGAUACGCGAGGAACCUUACCCGGGCUUGAAUUGCGGAGGAAGGAUUUGGAGACAAUGACGCCCUUCGGGGCCUCUGUGAAGGUGCUGCAUGGUUGUCGUCAGCUCGUGCCGUGAGGUGUCGGCUUAAGUGCCAUAACGAGCGCAACCCCUCUCCAUAGUUGCCAUCAGGUGAAGCUGGGCACUCUGUGGACACUGCCACCGUAAGGUGCGAGGAAGGUGGGGAUGACGUCAAAUCAGCACGGCCCUUACGUCCGGGGCUACACACGUGUUACAAUGGCAGGUACAGAGAGCCGGUCGUAUGCAAAUACGAUCCAAUCCUUAAAGCCUGUCUCAGUUCGGACUGGGGUCUGCAACCCGACCCCACGAAGCUGGAUUCGCUAGUAAUCGCGCAUCAGCCAUGGCGCGGUGAAUACGUUCCCGGGCCUUGUACACACCGCCCGCCAAGCCAUGAAAGCCGGGGGCGCCUGAAGUCCGUGACCGCAAGGAGCGGCCUAGGGCGAAACUGGUAAUUGGGGCUAAGUCGUAACAAGGUA
RNAcentral lists this ribosomal RNA (1217 nucleotides) under metagenome. Its description in RNAcentral is "bacterial SSU rRNA". It matches the Rfam family "Bacterial small subunit ribosomal RNA", at positions 270 to 1498 of the family's 1533-position model. The record is from RNAcentral.